GACCUUCGCGGGGCCCGUUCCCGCCGCAGCCUCUGGGCGGGGCUUCUCCCUGCCCCGGCCUCCGCCCUCGGUGUCCGGUCGGCGGAACUGGAGCUGCUCGCCGAGCCGGCCCGCCGCACAGGACAGCGGAAGAAGGAGAUUCCUUGGAAUGAAACCAGUGGGAGAUCAGCAUUUGGAAGAGUCUCAUCAGAGCAGAUGGGCCAGCAACAGCCAGAAAGCUUGUUGCCUUUGGCUGAGAGCACCACCCUGGAUCAGAAUGUCUUAUGUAAGUUUUUCCAAAGGGGUUCUCUUCACCUUUCAGCAGAAAUGCCUACUGGAUCACCAAACAUUGAAACUGAUAGAAGUUGUGACUAUGCCAUCCCCCAGUCACCAAGAACCAAGUAUGAUCCUUCCUUUGUCAUACUUACCUUUCCAUUAAUAACAGCCUCAUUUAUGUGAUUGCCUGCAGUUCAUCUUCUCCUCUCCUCUAUCCUCAAUAGACUGGAAAUUUCAAAAGAACAUAGACCAUGUCUAUUUUGGCCCACCGACGUAUCUCUAGCACCAAGCCUGGUACAUAGUAGAUAUUCAAGAAAUAUUUGUGGAAAGAAUGGAUGAAUGAAUAGAUCACCUUGUUUUAUAGAUGAGGAAACAGAGGCACAAAGAGGUAUGGUUCUUAAUGACAAAGCUGAGAUAAGAAGUCAGGUCUCCUAGUUCACAGGCCAGACAGCAUUCUUUUUAUUUUCCUUUGUGUUCUCUCAGUAUUGGAGUUGGAACAUCUUGGGGUCUAGUCUAACCCUUUCAUUUUACGAAUGGGAAACUGAGGCCUAGAAAGGAGAAGAAUUCACCCAAGUUCACAGAUGGCAGCACUGGCAGAGCCAGGCCUAGAACCCAGGUCUCCUGACUCCCAAGCUACUGCUCUUCCUUUGUAAAGGCAUAUUAAAAACAAAGCUGAAUUGGGCUUAUUGCCAAGCCCCUGCAGGAGGUCACAUAGCCAAGCAGCUCUCAGAGUUCCUUGUCUAUUCUUAGCCUGAACUUUUAGUGACUCUGGUCUUCAGCAGCCAUCCUCCCCGCCCCCCCUUCCUUUGCAUUUGAUUUUUUGUGUAUAUGUGCUGCGUGUUUUAAAUAAAGGGUGCUACGUGUAGGAAAUGGGCUUCAGCACAGUCCUG
Molecule: long non-coding RNA, 1145 nt
Filed under: Canis lupus familiaris (dog)
Lineage: Eukaryota; Metazoa; Chordata; Mammalia; Carnivora; Canidae
Description: lncRNA (ENSCAFG00845022462.1)
Source: RNAcentral